This 425-nucleotide ribosomal RNA is filed under the name uncultured bacterium. Its description in RNAcentral is "partial 16S ribosomal RNA". It matches the Rfam family "Bacterial small subunit ribosomal RNA", at positions 354 to 796 of the family's 1533-position model. The record is from RNAcentral.
GUGGGGAAUAUUGGGCAAUGGGCGAAAGCCUGACCCAGCAACGCCGCGUGAAGGAAGAAGGUCUUCGGAUCGUAAACUUCUAUCCUUGGUGAAGAUAAUGACGGUAGCCGAGAAGGAAGCCCCGGCUAACUACGUGCCAGCAGCCGCGGUAAUACGUAGGGGGCAAGCGUUGUCCGGAAUGAUUGGGCGUAAAGGGCGCGUAGGCGGCCUGGUAAGUCUGGAGUGAAAGUCCUGCUUUUAAGGUGGGAAUUGCUUUGGAUACUGUCGGGCUUGAGUGCAGGAGAGGUAAGCGGAAUUCCCGGUGUAGCGGUGAAAUGCGUAGAGAUCGGGAGGAACACCAGUGGCGAAGGCGGCUUACUGGACUGUAACUGACGCUGAGGCGCGAAAGUGUGGGGAGCAAACAGGAUUAGAAACCCGUGUAGUCC